ACUCAGUGCAAAAUUCACGCAUACCUUACACACAGGAGUGACAGCCAUACGUAAGAGGGAGAGGGAGACAAGGACAUCAUUCACACACAGGGACAAAAAUAAGAGGUGAGGUUGAGUCUCCUGGAGGAAGAAUAUUCAGAUCCCAAAUUGUCUAGCAUGAGGCACCUCCAAGGGCAAGACACUUGGCCAUAGGUGUUCGCUAGAUAUAGAGGACCCUAUCCUCCCUGGACAAGGCGAGGGUCUGCGUUUUUCUUCGAGUAGAAUUCGACGUCGACAUUGUGGAAACCCGGAUCGAUGAGACCACCUCUCCCUGCUGUGUCAACUAUUGUUUCACCGCCUCUCUCCGACCAGACAAUCACUGCCAGAGUAGUUUGCCACAUAGCUGAUGAUACUGCCACAUCCAAAGCCAGACCUGUCUGCUGACACUGGAGCCCUGGACAAAGUUUUGAUUACUAUUUAUAAUUGUAGUUUUACACCAUAUUGGUUGUAAUUAUUUUGUGCAGCAUGUUCGGAGAUGAGAUAUGUCUUGAUAGUUGUAAUAGCAUAAACUGAAAGUAAUUAUCAUUUUUUUAUUUGAACAAAAUAUAAAAGCAAAGGGUACUUUGUACUGUUAAUUCCUCCUGGGAAUAAAUACAACUAUGGGAAACUA
Perca fluviatilis (European perch) is the source of this 649-nucleotide long non-coding RNA. RefSeq lists it as uncharacterized. NCBI's taxonomy places the organism in Eukaryota, Metazoa, Chordata, Actinopteri, Perciformes, Percidae. The transcript is spliced from 3 exons. The record is from RefSeq and is a predicted model, not a curated record.